This 459-nucleotide ribosomal RNA is filed under the name uncultured bacterium. Its description in RNAcentral is "partial 16S ribosomal RNA". It matches the Rfam family "Bacterial small subunit ribosomal RNA", at positions 338 to 795 of the family's 1533-position model. The record is from RNAcentral.
CCUACGGGAGGCAGCAGUGAGGAAUAUUGGUCAAUGGACGCGAGCCUGAACCAGCCAAGCCGCGUGAGGGAAGACGGUCCUAUGGAUUGUAAACCUCUUUUGUCGGGGAGCAAAAGCUGCUACGCGUCGCCGUCUGAGAGUAACCGAAGAAAAAGCAUCGGCUAACUCCGUGCCAGCAGCCGCGGUAAUACGGAGGAUUCGAGCGUUAUCCGGUUUUAUUGGGUUUAAAGGGUGCGCAGGCGGUCGAUUAAGUCAGCGGUAAAAUCGCGGGGCUCAACCCCGACCAGCCGUUGAAACUGGUUGGCUAGAGAGGGAGAGAAGUAGGCGGAAUGCGUGGUGUAGCGGUGAAAUGCAUAGAGAUCACGCAGAACUCCGAUUGCGAAGGCAGCAUACCGGCGCACAACUGACGCUGAGGCACGAAAGCGUGGGGAUCGAACAGGAUUAGAUACCCCAGUAGUC